AUUGAACGCUGGCGGCAUGCCUUACACAUGCAAGUCGAACGGUAACGGGUCCUUCGGGAUGCCGACGAGUGGCGAACGGGUGAGUAAUAUAUCGGAACGUGCCCAGUAGUGGGGGAUAACUGCUCGAAAGAGCAGCUAAUACCGCAUACGACCUGAGGGUGAAAGGGGGGGAUCGCAAGACCUCUCGCUAUUGGAGCGGCCGAUAUCAGAUUAGCUAGUUGGUGGGGUAAAGGCCUACCAAGGCAACGAUCUGUAGUUGGUCUGAGAGGACGACCAGCACACUGGGACUGAGACACGGCCCAGACUCCUACGGGAGGCAGCAGUGGGGAAUUUUGGACAAUGGACGCAAGCCUGAUCCAGCAAUGCCGCGUGCAGGAAGAAGGCCUUCGGGUUGUAAACUGCUUUUGUCAGGGAAGAAAUCUUCUGGGCUAAUACCCCGGGAGGAUGACGGUACCUGAAGAAUAAGCACCGGCUAACUACGUGCCAGCCGCCGCAGUAA
This 499-nucleotide ribosomal RNA is filed under the name uncultured bacterium. RNAcentral's name for it is "partial 16S ribosomal RNA". It matches the Rfam family "Bacterial small subunit ribosomal RNA", at positions 30 to 523 of the family's 1533-position model. The record is from RNAcentral.